GUUAUAUGGUCAAGUGAAGAAGCGCAUACGGUGGAUGCCUUGGCAGUCAGAGGCGAUGAAAGACGUGGUAGCCUGCGAAAAGCUUCGGGGAGUCGGCAAACAGACUUUGAUCCGGAGAUCUCUGAAUGGGGGAACCCACCUAGGAUAACCUAGGUAUCUUGUACUGAAUCCAUAGGUGCAAGAGGCGAACCAGGGGAACUGAAACAUCUAAGUACCCUGAGGAAAAGAAAUCAACCGAGAUUCCCUUAGUAGUGGCGAGCGAACGGGGAUUAGCCCUUAAGCUUCAUUGAUUUUAGCGGAACGCUCUGGAAAGUGCGGCCAUAGUGGGUGAUAGCCCCGUACGCGAAAGGAUCUUUGAAGUGAAAUCGAGUAGGACGGAGCACGAGAAACUUUGUCUGAACAUGGUGGGACCAUCCUCCAAGGCUAAAUACUACUGACUGACCGAUAGUGAACCAGUACCGUGAGGGAAAGGCGAAAAGAACCACGGAGAGGGGAGUGAAAUAGAACCUGAAACCGUAUGCGUACAAGCAGUGGGAGCCUACUUGUUAGGUGACUGCGUACCUUUUGUAUAAUGGGUCAGCGACUUAUAUUCAGUGGCAAGCUUAACCGUAUAGGGUAGGCGUAGCGAAAGCGAGUCUUAAUAGGGCGUUUAGUCGCUGGGUAUAGACCCGAAACCGGGCGAUCUAUCCAUGAGCAGGUUGAAGGUUAGGUAACACUGACUGGAGGACCGAACCCACUCCCGUUGAAAAGGUAGGGGAUGACUUGUGGAUCGGAGUGAAAGGCUAAUCAAGCUCGGAGAUAGCUGGUUCUCCUCGAAAGCUAUUUAGGUAGCGCCUCAUGUAUCACUCUGUGGGGUAGAGCACUGUUUCGGCUAGGGGGUCAUCCCGACUUACCAAACCGAUGCAAACUCCGAAUACCCAGAAGUGCCGAGCAUGGGAGACACACUGCGGGUGCUAACGUCCGUCGUGAAAAGGGAAACAACCCAGACCGCCAGCUAAGGUCCCAAAGUUGUGGUUAAGUGGUAAACGAUGUGGUAAGGCUUAGACAGCUAGGAGGUUGGCUUAGAAGCAGCCACCCUUUAAAGAAAGCGUAAUAGCUCACUAGUCGAGUCGGCCUGCGCGGAAGAUGUAACGGGGCUCAAACCACACACCGAAGCUGCGGGUGUCACGUAAGUGACGCGGUAGAGGAGCGUUCUGUAAGCCUGUGAAGGUGAGUUGAGAAGCUUGCUGGAGGUAUCAGAAGUGCGAAUGCUGACAUGAGUAACGACAAUGGGUGUGAAAAACACCCACGCCGAAAGACCAAGGGUUCCUGCGCAACGUUAAUCGACGCAGGGUUAGUCGGUUCCUAAGGCGAGGCUGAAAAGCGUAGUCGAUGGGAAACAGGUUAAUAUUCCUGUACUUCUGGUUACUGCGAUGGAGGGACGGAGAAGGCUAGGCCAGCUUGGCGUUGGUUGUCCAAGUUUAAGGUGGUAGGCUGAAAUCUUAGGUAAAUCCGGGGUUUCAAGGCCGAGAGCUGAUGACGAGUCGUCUUUUAGAUGACGAAGUGGUUGAUGCCAUGCUUCCAAGAAAAGCUUCUAAGCUUCAGGUAACCAGGAACCGUACCCCAAACCGACACAGGUGGUCGGGUAGAGAAUACCAAGGCGCUUGAGAGAACUCGGGUGAAGGAACUAGGCAAAAUGGCACCGUAACUUCGGGAGAAGGUGCGCCGGCUAGGGUGAAGGAUUUACUCCGUAAGCUCUGGCUGGUCGAAGAUACCAGGCCGCUGCGACUGUUUAUUAAAAACACAGCACUCUGCAAACACGAAAGUGGACGUAUAGGGUGUGACGCCUGCCCGGUGCCGGAAGGUUAAUUGAUGGGGUUAGCGCAAGCGAAGCUCUUGAUCGAAGCCCCGGUAAACGGCGGCCGUAACUAUAACGGUCCUAAGGUAGCGAAAUUCCUUGUCGGGUAAGUUCCGACCUGCACGAAUGGCGUAACGAUGGCGGCGCUGUCUCCACCCGAGACUCAGUGAAAUUGAAAUCGCUGUGAAGAUGCAGUGUAUCCGCGGCUAGACGGAAAGACCCCGUGAACCUUUACUGUAGCUUUGCACUGGACUUUGAGCCUGCUUGUGUAGGAUAGGUGGGAGGCUUUGAAGCGUGGACGCCAGUUCGCGUGGAGCCAUCCUUGAAAUACCACCCUGGCAUGCUUGAGGUUCUAACUCUGGUCCGUAAUCCGGAUCGAGGACAGUGUAUGGUGGGCAGUUUGACUGGGGCGGUCUCCUCCUAAAGAGUAACGGAGGAGUACGAAGGUGCGCUCAGACCGGUCGGAAAUCGGUCGCAGAGUAUAAAGGCAAAAGCGCGCUUGACUGCGAGACAGACACGUCGAGCAGGUACGAAAGUAGGUCUUAGUGAUCCGGUGGUUCUGUAUGGAAGGGCCAUCGCUCAACGGAUAAAAGGUACUCCGGGGAUAACAGGCUGAUACCGCCCAAGAGUUCAUAUCGACGGCGGUGUUUGGCACCUCGAUGUCGGCUCAUCACAUCCUGGGGCUGAAGCCGGUCCCAAGGGUAUGGCUGUUCGCCAUUUAAAGUGGUACGCGAGCUGGGUUUAGAACGUCGUGAGACAGUUCGGUCCCUAUCUGCCGUGGACGUUUGAGAUUUGAGAGGGGCUGCUCCUAGUACGAGAGGACCGGAGUGGACGAACCUCUGGUGUUCCGGUUGUCACGCCAGUGGCAUUGCCGGGUAGCUAUGUUCGGAAAAGAUAACCGCUGAAAGCAUCUAAGCGGGAAACUUGCCUCAAGAUGAGAUCUCACUGGGAACUUGAUUCCCCUGAAGGGCCGUCGAAGACUACGACGUUGAUAGGCUGGGUGUGUAAGCGUUGUGAGGCGUUGAGCUAACCAGUACUAAUUGCCCGUGAGGCUUGACCAUAUAACACCCAAACA
Molecule: ribosomal RNA, 2912 nt
Filed under: Pseudomonas aeruginosa
Lineage: Bacteria; Pseudomonadati; Pseudomonadota; Gammaproteobacteria; Pseudomonadales; Pseudomonadaceae
Description: 23S ribosomal RNA
Rfam family: Bacterial large subunit ribosomal RNA
Source: RNAcentral